Molecule: ribosomal RNA, 253 nt
Filed under: uncultured bacterium
Lineage: Bacteria
Description: partial 16S ribosomal RNA
Rfam family: Bacterial small subunit ribosomal RNA
Source: RNAcentral
UACGUAGGGUGCAAGCGUUAAUCGGAAUUACUGGGCGUAAAGCGUGCGCAGGCGGCUUUGCAAGACAGAUGUGAAAUCCCCGGGCUCAACCUGGGAACUGCAUUUGUGACUGCAAGGCUAGAGUACGGUAGAGGGGGAUGGAAUUCCGCAUGUAGCAGUGAAAUGCGUAGAUAUGCGGAGGAACACCGAUGGCGAAGGCAAUCCCCUGGACCUGUACUGACGCUCAUGCACGAAAGCGUGGGGAGCAAACAGG